CUUCCCGCUCCCGUUUUCCUUCUCCAGCGGGCGGAGCGAGCUGCCCGGUGAUCCCCGGAGAUCCCCGGAGGCGCCGUCCCGCCUCGGUCGUUCCGUGACCCGGCGAGAGCUAAUAGCAAGCUGAGGGUGACUCGCGUGUACGACCAGCCGUUGCGGGGGUCUGUUAGCCCGGCUGGAGCACGAGCACGUUACAGCAGCUCUAGGGAAAUGGAAGUGGUGGUGUACUCGAGCAAGCCGUGGUGUUGUUCCAAGUAACAAAAUGAAAAAGAAAUAAAAAGGAACCGCGUUUCCCUGGCAUUACAUCUGUCAUGAAAAUUACAAGAGGAGUAAGAAAUCGGCACCUGCAUCUGGUGGGGACUGGCAGAAGGCACAGAAGGGAUAAGGACCUUGUCUGAACUGUGGCUGCUGAGGCACCAGAGCCGCUUCCCCGGCCCUUCGGGAUUCGAACGACCAGCGCUGCAGGCUUUGCCUUCCAAACGUUAGUAAUUCUCUCUGCCUGCUUCUCUGAGAAGAUCUGGGAAAUAAAAUGCCUUUCAGUUGGUCC
Long non-coding RNA from Struthio camelus australis, 544 nucleotides. RefSeq lists it as uncharacterized. The record is from RefSeq and is a predicted model, not a curated record. NCBI's taxonomy places the organism in Eukaryota, Metazoa, Chordata, Aves, Struthioniformes, Struthionidae.